RNAcentral lists this long non-coding RNA (424 nucleotides) under Oryza sativa (Asian cultivated rice). RNAcentral describes it as "long non-coding RNA (OSAT_LNC001851)". Lineage: Eukaryota; Viridiplantae; Streptophyta; Magnoliopsida; Poales; Poaceae. The record is from RNAcentral.
CCCCCGUCUCCCAAUAGCCGGUCGCCGGAUCCGGCCUCGACGAGUUUGGAGGAUGCGGAUCCAGCGACCGCCGGCGUCUGCGGCCACCUCCCCCGCCUCCUGACCGUGAGCCGCCGCCGCCUGCCGCCGGAUCCGACCUCAACAAAUUUGGGGGACGUGGAUCCGGCAGCAGCCGCCUCCCCCGCCGACCGACCGUCGACCGCCGGCGUCCUCGGCCACCUCCCCCGCCUCCUGACCGCGAGCCGCCGGAUCCGACCUCAACAAAUUUGGAGGACACGGAUCUGGCGGCAGCCGCCUCCCCCGCCGACCAACCGCCGACCGCCAGCGUUCGCAGCCACCUCCCUCGCCUCCUGACCGCCAGCCGGCGCCGCCUGCCGCCUCCCCCGCCGACCAACGGCCAGAUCUGGUGGACGUCCGCCGCCUC